This 912-nucleotide ribosomal RNA is filed under the name Cortinarius altissimus. RNAcentral's name for it is "eukaryotic LSU rRNA". It matches the Rfam family "Eukaryotic large subunit ribosomal RNA", at positions 73 to 967 of the family's 3401-position model. The record is from RNAcentral. Lineage: Eukaryota; Fungi; Basidiomycota; Agaricomycetes; Agaricales; Cortinariaceae.
GAUUCCCUUAGUAACUGCGAGUGAAGUGGGAAAAGCUCAAAUUUAAAAUCUGUCAGUCAUUGGCUGUCCGAGUUGUAAUCUAGAGAAGUGUUAUCCGCGCUGGACCGUGUACAAGUCUCCUGGAAUGGAGCGUCAUAGAGGGUGAGAAUCCCGUCUUUGGCACGGACUGCCAGGGCUUUUGUGAUGCGCUCUCAAAGAGUCGAGUUGUUUGGGAAUGCAGCUCAAAAUGGGUGGUAAAUUCCAUCUAAAGCUAAAUAUUGGCGAGAGACCGAUAGCGAACAAGUACCGUGAGGGAAAGAUGAAAAGAACUUUGGAAAGAGAGUUAAACAGUACGUGAAAUUGCUGAAAGGGAAACGCUUGAAGUCAGUCGCAUUGAUCGGGGAUCAACCCUUGCUUUUGCUUGGUGUACUUUUUUGGUUAAUGGGUCAGCAUCAAUUUUGACUAUUGGAGAAAGAUUAGGGGAAUGUGGCAUCUUUGGAUGUGUUGAUAGCCCCUAGUUGUAUACAAUGGUUGAGAUUGAGGAACUCAGCACGCCGCAAGGCCGGGUGAAAAACCACGUACGUGCUUAGGAUGCUGGCAUAAUGGCUUUAAUCGACCCGUCUUGAAACACGGACCAAGGAGUCUAACAUGCGUGCGAGUGUUUGGGUGGAAAACCCGAGCGCGUAAUGAAAGUGAAAGUUGAGAUCCCUGUCGUGGGGAGCAUCGACGCCCGGACUAGACCUUUUGUGACGGUUCCGCGGUAGAGCAUGUAUGUUGGGACCCGAAAGAUGGUGAACUAUGCCUGAAUAGGGUGAAGCCAGAGGAAACUCUGGUGGAAGCUCGUAGCGAUUCUGACGUGCAAAUCGAUCGUCAAAUUUGGGUAUAGGGGCGAAAGACUAAUCGAACCAUCUAGUAGCUGGUUCCUGCCGAAGU